GGCACUUUGGCGGAGUGGUUAACGCGCUGGCCUGCUAGUCCCUUUCGGGAAAGUCAGCCAGUUCCUUCGGGAGCGUGUGUUCGAAUCACACAGGUGUCG
RNAcentral lists this transfer RNA (99 nucleotides) under Curvularia clavata. It matches the Rfam family "tRNA". Rfam says of the family: Transfer RNA (tRNA) molecules are approximately 80 nucleotides in length. Their secondary structure includes four short double-helical elements and three loops (D, anti-codon, and T loops). Further hydrogen bonds mediate the characteristic L-shaped molecular structure. tRNAs have two regions of fundamental functional importance: the anti-codon, which is responsible for specific mRNA codon recognition, and the 3' end, to which the tRNAs corresponding amino acid is attached (by aminoacyl-tRNA synthetases). tRNAs cope with the degeneracy of the genetic code in two manners: having more than one tRNA (with a specific anti-codon) for a particular amino acid; and 'wobble' base-pairing, i.e. permitting non-standard base-pairing at the 3rd anti-codon position. The record is from Rfam by way of RNAcentral. Lineage: Eukaryota; Fungi; Ascomycota; Dothideomycetes; Pleosporales; Pleosporaceae.